CCCAGGCCCUGCCACCGUCUUUUCCCUUUCCCUUCCUCGCCCCCUCCAGCGACCACUGCCCUCCGUCCCUCCGGUCCCUCCCAUCCCUCUGCGAGCCCUAUUGUGGCUGAGCUGCAGGAGCAAACAGAGGAGGAACCCAGCCACCAUGCUAUAUAAGAAGCCCACACCAGCCCGCCCGGAGAGACCAGUGGGAAAACCACAUGGAGAGGCACUGAGGACCCAACCUGCAGUCAGCACCAGCCACCAGAUUUGUGAGUGAAUGAGCCUUCAUUGAUUCCAAAGUCCUGCCAUGGAUGCUUCCAGCUGAGGCCCCAGACGACCUAGGGCAGAGACAAGCUCUUCCUGCUGUGUCCUGUCCGGAUUCCUGACCCGGAGACUCUGCAAACAUAAUAAAGUGGUUGUUUGAUGUAUAAGUACGAUAA
This is a non-coding RNA of Callorhinus ursinus (northern fur seal), 422 nucleotides long. NCBI's taxonomy places the organism in Eukaryota, Metazoa, Chordata, Mammalia, Carnivora, Otariidae. The record is from RefSeq and is a predicted model, not a curated record.